RNAcentral lists this ribosomal RNA (875 nucleotides) under uncultured Gammaproteobacteria bacterium. RNAcentral describes it as "bacterial SSU rRNA". It matches the Rfam family "Bacterial small subunit ribosomal RNA", at positions 300 to 1168 of the family's 1533-position model. Lineage: Bacteria; Pseudomonadati; Pseudomonadota; Gammaproteobacteria. The record is from RNAcentral.
AUGAUCAGCCAUACCGGGACUGAGACACGGCCCGGACUCCUACGGGAGGCAGCAGUGGGGAAUAUUGGACAAUGGGGGAAACCCUGAUCCAGCCAUGCCGCGUGUGUGAAGAAGGCCUUUAGGUUGUAAAGCACUUUAAGCAGUGAAGAAGACUCUUCGGUUAAUACCCGGAGACGAUGACAUUAGCUGCAGAAUAAGCACCGGCUAACUCUGUGCCAGCAGCCGCGGUAAUACAGAGGGUGCAAGCGUUAAUCGGAAUUACUGGGCGUAAAGCGAGCGUAGGUGGCUUGAUAUGUCAGAUGCGAAAUCCCCGGGCUUAACCUGGGAACUGCAUCUGAAACUGUUAGGCUAGAGUAGGUGAGAGGGAAGUAGAAUUUCAGGUGUAGCGGUGAAAUGCGUAGAGAUCUGAAGGAAUACCGAUGGCGAAGGCAGCUUCCUGGCAUCAUACUGACACUGAGGCUCGAAAGCGUGGGUAGCAAACAGGAUUAGAUACCCUGGUAGUCCACGCCGUAAACGAUGUCUACCAGUCGUUGGGUCCCUUGAGGACUUAGUGACGCAGCUAACGCAAUAAGUAGACCGCCUGGGGAGUACGGCCGCAAGGUUAAAACUCAAAUGAAUUGACGGGGGCCCGCACAAGCGGUGGAGCAUGUGGUUUAAUUCGAUGCAACGCGAAGAACCUUACCUGGUCUUGACAUAUCUAGAAUCCUGCAGAGAUGCGGGAGUGCUUCGGGAAUUAGAAUACAGGUGCUGCAUGGCUGUCGUCAGCUCGUGUCGUGAGAUGUUGGGUUAAGUCCCGCAACGAGCGCAACCCUUGUCCUUAGUUACCAGCGGGUUAAGCCGGGAACUCUAAGGAUACUGCCAGUGACAAACUGGAG